AUGGUGGGAGAAUCCAGCACUUGCUCAAGUUACAGCCUGCCUUGCCCUGACAUCAGUAUCAGCACCUACUCUGUGGAAAGCCGGCAGUCUGUUAUUGUUGUGGUCAGAAGGACAUGUGUUCCCUUUUGCCUCUGGACAGCCCUGCUGCCCACGGAGAGCUCUGCAGUCAGCAGCCUGCCUGACAGGGUCAUGACUUCCAGAGGUGAGUGUGGCAAUGGACAUGGUGAAUGAAGCACAAACUCUCUUCCCUGCUGAGUAGCCACCUGAUGCACUUAUACACAUCUCUACAAACUGCUGGAGGAUAGUUUUAGUCUCAGGAUCUUCAAUAUAGUGUCAGGACAAGGAGUUUGCCCAAAUAUUUUGUCUAAGCAUUGAGAGUCAGAAUUUAUAUGAAAUUGUAACAGACAGCAUCAUGGUAAUUAUUGUCCCAAUAUCAUGACUCCAGCAUAAAAUCCUUUUCACAAACCUAUCAAACUUCAUCUUAAAACCAGAUGUUUUUGUUUCUUUCUUUGUUUCUCCCCCUAACAAUAUAACAUUGGAAAGGGCUGGUUCAGAAUCCUUAUUCUAAUGCUGUUUAAAGUUAAUGACAGUGCCUUUUUUUGUUCUCCAUUAUGUAUUGAGUUUUCU
RNAcentral lists this long non-coding RNA (627 nucleotides) under Cyanistes caeruleus (blue tit). RNAcentral describes it as "lncRNA (ENSCCEG00000015046.1)". Lineage: Eukaryota; Metazoa; Chordata; Aves; Passeriformes; Paridae. The record is from RNAcentral.